CCCUUAGAUGUUCUGGGCCGCACGCGCGCUACACUGAUGCAUUCAACGAGCCUAUCCUUGACCGACAGGUCCGGGUAAUCUUUGAAUCUGCAUCGUGACGGGGAUAGAUUAUUGCAAUUAUUAAUCUUCAACGAGGAAUGCCUAGUAGGCGCAAGUCAUCAGCUUGCAUCGAUUACGUCCCUGCCCUUUGUACACACCGCCCGUCGCUCCUACCGAUUGGGUGUGCUGGUGAAAUGUUCGGAUCGGCCGUUUGUCGCGGUUUCCGCGUCAUGUGGCUGAGAAGUUCAUUAACCCCUCCCACCUAGAGGAAGGAGAAGUCGUAACA
This 325-nucleotide ribosomal RNA is filed under the name uncultured eukaryote. RNAcentral's name for it is "partial 18S ribosomal RNA". It matches the Rfam family "Eukaryotic small subunit ribosomal RNA", at positions 1470 to 1796 of the family's 1831-position model. The record is from RNAcentral.